This 248-nucleotide ribosomal RNA is filed under the name uncultured bacterium. Its description in RNAcentral is "partial 16S ribosomal RNA". It matches the Rfam family "Bacterial small subunit ribosomal RNA", at positions 524 to 775 of the family's 1533-position model. The record is from RNAcentral.
GACGAGGGUGCAGCGUGUCCGGAUUUAUUGGGCGUAAAGAGCUCGUAGGCGGCUCGUCGCGUCGGCUGUGAAAACCCGCGGCUUAACUGUGGGCUUGCAGCUGAUACGGGCGGGCUAGAGUUCGGUAGGGGAGACUGGAUUCCUGGGUGUAGCGGUGAAAUGCGCAGAUAUCAGGAGGAACACCGGUGGCGAAGGCGGGUCUCUGGGCCGAUACUGACGUGAGGAGCGAAAGCGUGGGGAGCGAACGG